This 124-nucleotide ribosomal RNA is filed under the name Pogona vitticeps (central bearded dragon). The record is from RNAcentral. Lineage: Eukaryota; Metazoa; Chordata; Lepidosauria; Squamata; Agamidae.
AUCAAACUGAAAGAUUUCACCCAGAAUGCAUCCAAUUUUGUCUGAUUUUAGAAGCUAAGCAGAAUCGGGCCUAAUUAGUACCCAAAUAGGAGAUUCCCCAGGAUAUACUAGGGAUUUCUUGAUG